UGGGGAAUUUUGGACAAUGGGCGAAAGCCUGAUCCAGCAAUGCCGCGUGUGUGAAGAAGGCCUUCGGGUUGUAAAGCACUUUUGUCCGGAAAGAAAUCCUUGGCUCUAAUACAGUCGGGGGAUGACGGUACCGGAAGAAUAAGCACCGGCUAACUACGUGCCAGCAGCCGCGGUAAUACGUAGGGUGCAAGCGUUAAUCGGAAUUACUGGGCGUAAAGCGUGCGCAGGCGGUUUGCUAAGACCGAUGUGAAAUCCCCGGGCUCAACCUGGGAACUGCAUUGGUGACUGGCAGGCUAGAGUAUGGCAGAGGGGGGUAGAAUUCCACGUGUAGCAGUGAAAUGCGUAGAGAUGUGGAGGAAUACCGAUGGCGAAGGCAGCCCCCUGGGCCAAUACUGACGCUCAUGCACGAAAAGCGUGGGGGAGCAAAACAGGAUUAGAUACCCUGGUAGUCCACGCCCUAAAACGAUGUCAACUAGUUGUUGGGGACUCAUUUCCUUAGUAACGUAGCUAACGCGUGAAGUUGACCGCCUGGGGAGUACGGUCGCAAGAUUAAAACUCAAAUGAAUUGACGGGG
This 574-nucleotide ribosomal RNA is filed under the name uncultured bacterium. Its description in RNAcentral is "partial 16S ribosomal RNA". It matches the Rfam family "Bacterial small subunit ribosomal RNA", at positions 355 to 918 of the family's 1533-position model. The record is from RNAcentral.